This 477-nucleotide ribosomal RNA is filed under the name uncultured bacterium. RNAcentral describes it as "partial 16S ribosomal RNA". It matches the Rfam family "Bacterial small subunit ribosomal RNA", at positions 28 to 507 of the family's 1533-position model. The record is from RNAcentral.
GAUGAACGCUGGCGGCGUGCCUAACACAUGCAAGUCGAACGAAGCACCUUACCUGAUUCUUCGGAUGAAAGUUUGGUGACUGAGUGGCGGACGGGUGAGUAACGCGUGGGUAACCUGCCCUGUACAGGGGGAUAACAGCUGGAAACGGCUGCUAAUACCGCAUAAGCGCACGAGGAGACAUCUCCUUGUGUGAAAAACUCCGGUGGUACAGGAUGGGCCCGCGUCUGAUUAGCUGGUUGGCAGGGUAACGGCCUACCAAGGCAACGAUCAGUAGCCGGUCUGAGAGGAUGAACGGCCACAUUGGAACUGGGACACGGUCCAAACUCCUACGGGAGGCAGCAGUGGGGAAUAUUGCACAAUGGGGUAAACCCUGAUGCAGCAACGCCGCGUGAGUGAAGAAGUAUUUCGGUAUGUAAAGCUCUAUCAGCAGGGAAGAUAAUGACGGUACCUGACUAAGAAGCUCCGGCUAAAUACGUG